RNAcentral lists this ribosomal RNA (1338 nucleotides) under freshwater sediment metagenome. Its description in RNAcentral is "bacterial SSU rRNA". It matches the Rfam family "Bacterial small subunit ribosomal RNA", at positions 214 to 1520 of the family's 1533-position model. The record is from RNAcentral.
GCGGCUCGAGGAUCCGUUCCCGUUCAACGCCGGCCCGAAGACCGGCGCGCUCGUCGAGGCGCGAGUCGGAAAAGGCCGAUGGGUGUACAUCGGCCUCGGGUUGUGGCGCGAGCUGCCGGCCGGCGUGGACGGCGCCUAUCGGCUCCUCCUACGGGAGGCAGCAGUGGGGAAUUUUGGACAAUGGGCGAAAGCCUGAUCCAGCCAUUCCGCGUGAGUGAAGAAGGCCUUCGGGUUGUAAAGCUCUUUCGCAAGGGAAGAAACGAUGCAGUCGAAUAAACUGUGUUAAUGACGGUACCUUGAUAAGAAGCACCGGCUAACUACGUGCCAGCAGCCGCGGUAAUACGUAGGGUGCGAGCGUUAAUCGGAAUUACUGGGCGUAAAGCGUGCGCAGGCGGUUUUGUAAGUCAGAUGUGAAAUCCCCGAGCUCAACUUGGGAACUGCGUUUGAAACUACAAGACUAGAAUAUGUCAGAGGGGGGUAGAAUUCCACGUGUAGCAGUGAAAUGCGUAGAGAUGUGGAGGAAUACCAAUGGCGAAGGCAGCCCCCUGGGAUAAUAUUGACGCUCAUGCACGAAAGCGUGGGGAGCAAACAGGAUUAGAUACCCUGGUAGUCCACGCCCUAAACGAUGUCUACUAGUUGUUGGUGGAGUAAAAUCCAUGAGUAACGCAGCUAACGCGUGAAGUAGACCGCCUGGGGAGUACGGUCGCAAGAUUAAAACUCAAAUGAAUUGACGGGGGCCCGCACAAGCGGUGGAUUAUGUGGAUUAAUUCGAUGCAACGCGAAAAACCUUACCUGGCCUUGACAUGUACCGAAUUUGGGAGAGAUUCCUUAGUGCUCGAAAGAGAACGGUAACACAGGUGCUGCAUGGCUGUCGUCAGCUCGUGUCGUGAGAUGUUGGGUUAAGUCCCGCAACGAGCGCAACCCUUGCCAUUAAUUGCCAUCAUUUAGUUGGGCACUUUAAUGGGACUGCCGGUGACAAACCGGAGGAAGGUGGGGAUGACGUCAAGUCCUCAUGGCCCUUAUGGCCAGGGCUUCACACGUAAUACAAUGGUCGGUACAGAGGGUUGCCAACCCGCGAGGGGGAGCCAAUCCCAGAAAGCCGAUCGUAGUCCGGAUUGUAGUCUGCAACUCGACUACAUGAAGUCGGAAUCGCUAGUAAUCGCGGAUCAGCAUGUCGCGGUGAAUACGUUCCCGGGCCUUGUACACACCGCCCGUCACACCAUGGGAGUGGGUUUUACCAGAAGUAGGUAGUCUAACCGUAAGGAGGACGCUUACCACGGUAGUAUUCAUGACUGGGGUGAAGUCGUAACAAGGUAGCCGUAUCGGAAGGUGCGGCUG